GUAGCUGUGGGGGGGGCACGGCCCCGAAUCGCAGGGGUCGGGCAGGGCGCAGCCCCCCUCCACAUUCACCCGCGCCGCCGGUGCCACCGCCAGUGCCACCGCGCUGGCCGCCGUCUCGCCCAUGCGCACGCCCUGCGGCACCGCCCGUCACCACUGCGCCCGGGCCCCCCGGGCCCCCAGCCCCAGUCCCGGUGCCCAGUGCCCCAGGUUGUGUCGCUGUGCCCAAAUGUCCCCAUGGCCCCGCAGCCUGUGUCCCUGUCCCCAACUCCUUAGGCCCACAGGCACUGUGUCCCCCUUCCCACGUCCCCAUGACCUACACCGUGCUCCGUGCCCACAGCCCCACAGCCCCAUGCCCAUACCCAUGUCCCACAGCACCAUGCCCACGUCCCCCUCCCCUGUGCCAUGUCCCCAUGCCCUGUGCAUGUCCCCAUGCCCUGCCCCACGUCCCCAUGCCCCUGCCCCCUGCCCAUUUGCCAACCAACGUCCCAUGUCCCCACGUACCUGCAGGCAGCCGCGGAAGCCCUGCUCCACCUGGCCACUGUCCCCUGCCAGCCCCCCCACGCUCAGCGUCCGCAGCCGCAGCCCCUGCAGCCCCCCGGCCACGUCGGCCACCGCCUGCGGGGACAGGGGCUCUGAGUGCGCCCAGCCCCAGGGCACCGCGGGUACCGGGGGGUCCCUGCCCCGGGGGGGGGUCCCCACCCUGCGCCCUGCCCCAGCGCCCCCGCGUCCCCAUCACCUGGUGGCGGCCGUAGUCCAGGGCGAGGAGGAGGAGGGUGGCCGGGGGAGCGCGGCCGGGGGCCCCCCGCAGCUCCAGCUGGAGGUGGUGCCAGGCGCCAUCGUUGACCCUGGCGUGGGGCAGCCGCAGCCAGGCCAGGCGGGAGCCCCCCUGCCACACGCCUGCCUCCGCCUGCCCCUCACUCAGCUGCGGGCAGAGGUGUCAGUGCCCCCCCCCAGGGGCCCCCCCCGCCCUGCCCCCCCUGGAAACCCUCCCCCCCCCCGCCCCCCAUGGCUCCAGCACCCUCCUUGAUAGGUGAUGGCCCCCAGGGCGAUGCCCCCUGCACAGAUCCCCCCCAGGUAAUCCCCCCUCCAGCCCCCUGCUCCCAGGGGCAAUCACCCCAUAAGGGGAUUGCCCCCAAUGGCCCCCAGC
Molecule: long non-coding RNA, 1147 nt
Filed under: Anas platyrhynchos platyrhynchos (common mallard)
Lineage: Eukaryota; Metazoa; Chordata; Aves; Anseriformes; Anatidae
Description: lncRNA (ENSAPLG00000018629.1)
Source: RNAcentral